CCACCGCGGUUAGACGAGAGACCCUAGUUGAUACCAAAACGGCGUAAAGGGUGGUUAGGGACAAAAUAAUAAAGCCGAAUGGCCCCUUGGCUGUCAUACGCUUCUAGGCGUCCGAAGCCCUAUUACACGAAAGUAGCUUUAACAACUUACCCGAAUCCACGAAAGCUAAGAAACAAACUGGGAUUAGAUACCCCACUAUGCUUAGCCGUAAACCUAGACAUUUAAAUACAAUAAAAUGUCCGCCAGGGUACUACGAGCACCAGCUUAAAACCCAAAGGACCUGACGGUGUCUCAGACCCACCUAGAGGAGCCUGUUCUAGAACCGAUAUUCCCCGUUCAACCUCACCACUUUUAGCCACCCCAGCCUAUAUACCGCCGUCGUCAGCUUACCCUGUGAAGGAAAUAUAAGUAAGCAAAAUGGGUACAACCCAGAACGUCAGGUCGAGGUGUAGCGCAUGAAGUGGGAAGAAAUGGGCUACAUUUUCUACCACAGAAUAUUACGAAUAUGCACCAUGAAAUAAUGCUUAAAGGAGGAUUUAGUAGUAAAAGGGAAAUAGAGUGUCCCUUUGAACCCGGCUCUGAGACGCGUACACACCGCCCGUCACUCUCCCCAUUCAAACACAUCAAAUCAUACCUAAUAAUAUAAUACCUGUCCAGGGGAGGCAAGUCGUAACACG
This 677-nucleotide ribosomal RNA is filed under the name Puntius brevis. RNAcentral's name for it is "partial 12S ribosomal RNA". It matches the Rfam family "Bacterial small subunit ribosomal RNA", at positions 512 to 1495 of the family's 1533-position model. Lineage: Eukaryota; Metazoa; Chordata; Actinopteri; Cypriniformes; Cyprinidae. The record is from RNAcentral.